CGGGGUGCACCAGGCGCGAAACCUCUGCAAUAGGCGAAAGCCUGACAGGGUUACUCUGAGUGAUUCCCGCUAAGGGGAUCUUUUGGCACCUCUAAAAAUGGUGCAGAAUAAGGGGUGGGCAAGCCUGGUGUCAGCCGCCGCGGUAAUACCAGCACCCCGAGUGGUCGGGACGAUUAUUGGGCCUAAAGCAUCCGUAGCCGGCCACGCAAGUCCUCCGUUAAAUCCACCCGCUCAACGGUUGGGCUGCGGAGGAUACUACGUGGCUAGGAGGCGGGAGAGGCAAGCGGUACUCAAUGGGUAGGGGUAAAAUCCUUUGAUCCAUUGAAGACCACCAGUGGCGAAGGCGGCUUGCCAGAACGCGCUCGACGGUGAGGGAUGAAAGCUGGGGGAGCAAACCGGAUUAGAUACCCGGGUAGUCCCAGCUGUAAACGAUGCAGACUCGGUGAUGGGAUGGCCUCGAGCCAUCCCAGUGCCGCAGGGAAGCCGUUAAGUCUGCCGCCUGGGGAGUACGGUCGCAAGACUGAAACUUAAAGGAAU
This 537-nucleotide ribosomal RNA is filed under the name uncultured archaeon. RNAcentral's name for it is "bacterial SSU rRNA". It matches the Rfam family "Archaeal small subunit ribosomal RNA", at positions 326 to 865 of the family's 1478-position model. The record is from RNAcentral.